This is a long non-coding RNA of Acromyrmex echinatior (Panamanian leafcutter ant), 2197 nucleotides long. Lineage: Eukaryota; Metazoa; Arthropoda; Insecta; Hymenoptera; Formicidae. The record is from RefSeq and is a predicted model, not a curated record.
GGAGAAGGAGGAGGAGGAAGUUAUAAAGAGAGAAGAAGAGGAGCAGAGGGAAGUGGAUAAUGGCAGCGAUAUUUCGGUGGUGGAAUCCGACAAUAUCUCGGAGAUAGAAGAGACACAAGAAGCUUUGGAAGGGGAAGAAGACGAGAAUGAUAGAGAGGAAGAGGGGGAGGAGGAGGAGGAAGCUAAAUACUAUGCUCAUGAUAUUGAAGAAGCGCCAGCGGAGAUAACGCCGAUCUAAUGAACAAAAGAGAAUCCUGCUGACAUUGAGGAGCAUCAUCAUCAUCAUCAUCUUCAACAUCAGCAGCAACAGUAUCAUCAGCAGUAGCAGCAUCAUCGACACGAAGUGACGAACAGUUUAAUUUCUUAGAGUUACGGGCGGAAAACUCGCGACGUUUCAGAAAUUUUGGCGUUCUCGAAAGAGAAACAAAUUUCGUAAUAUGACUAAUAUGCCAAGGCGCGAAUACCGUUCGCUGGUUAGAAAACGCGUUCCACGAAAUCUACGCGCAUGCGAUACGUUCAAGCGAACUGGGCGAUUACGUAAGAAUAUCGAUUCGGCGAAUCUAGUGCAUGGUCCAUCAAAACUAUCGUUUUGUCCGGUGCGACUUAACUUUCAAGGAUAUAUGAAGACUCGUAAGUUCGAUAGCUCAAAGUGCCAGCAGAAUCGAUAUUGCAGAAAAUUUCGACGUAUGUGUUUUCAACAUUGCGGGUUGUGCAAAUCAAAUCAUUUAACGCGCGAAAACAUAGCAAAACGCUUGAUUUUGCAAUUAAAUAAUUCGGAUAAUUUGUGUUUUCCAUGUUUCCUUAUAAUGGCGUGAGUGCAUUGCGAACGUAGAAAUCUAGAAAUCUAUGGGCGAACUCUAUUAAAAAAUGGAAUAAGACGACAGAAUUUCUUGUUACAAUCCGAGUUAGCGAGAGAACUAACGAGGAACACUGGAGUCACAAUUCGAAGAGGGAUGCGGAAUUCGCGAAAUCGAGCGUUUUCAACGGUAUCUCGCUGCCGAAAAUAUUCCUAUAAUGGUGUUUUAGCACUUUUGGGUGCAGCGAGAAUCCGUUAUUUGACAGUUGCGCGUUAUUUACCUCUCCAGAAGGAGAGCCCUCUAGAUUAAAUAUUAUGUAUUAUGAACGUAGGCAUCAACGUCAUUACAAUCCGAUAUUAAAUGUAAAAGCCGCUGCUGGUUUUCGCGGAGAAUAUUACGUCGCGUGUGAUAUGAAUUAGAAGUCACUGCUGCACGAAAAAACGCCCACGAUGUUACGCCACUCUGUUAUGCGAAUCCCCCGACGCAGGCCUAAUUAGGUAUGAAACGUGUAAUCGUACGGUACUUCAUGUUUCGAAUGUCAUCGCGCGGAAAGAUUCUACGACGAACAACCUCCUGCAAGCGCUUACGAAUCGGUAAAAAUUUGUAACAAUUGCAGGCAAUUCGUAAAGUCAAAAUCGAGGCAUGAAUGCGUAUUGUAAAACUUGCCGAUCGCAGCGGCCUUCGAAUCAUUUUUGCUUCAUGCGCCUUCUUCGAUGUAAAGUCGAUGUAAAGUCGUUACCGAGAAUCCAGGGGAAGAUACGAGUGGUACGAUGGUACAGGAAGAAACUCAGGGAUGAGAAUGAGUCCAAAGAUAGAGCAAAUUAUAAAUACAAAAGAGAUCGCGUCACAUUCGUGUUCUACGAUUUCGAAACGCGAGAGGACGAGACGUGUAAAGAAACUGAAAACAUACAAAUUCACGUUCCGACUCUUUACGUCGCACAACAAAUGUGAUGUCAUAGUGCGGAGUGCGCGAGUUUAUAUUUCGAAAUGAUCCGAUUAAACAAUUUAUUAAUCAUGUAACGCGAACAACAAAAUGUUUCAAAAAGACCAUUUGUAGAACACAUAAUCCGAAAGCGUUCGACGCGCAAUUCAUUUUAAAAUAUUUAGUCGAAAACUCGGAAAUUACGGAAGAACCGCUGGUAAUUUUGAACGGGACAAAAAUUAUCGUGUCGGUCGGGAACACUAAAUUUAUAGAUAGCGUAAAUUAUUUGCCGAUGCAUUUAUCUGAUUUGCCCAAAGCUUUCGGGCUCAAAGAUACAUUGGGUAAAGGCAUCUUUCCCCAUUUCUUUAAUACAAAGUACGAAUCAAACGUACAUCGGUCCAAUAUGACGAGCAAUAUUAUUCUCCCGAUCAAAUGAAGUCCGAAGAACGUGAACGAUUUACGAAAUGGCACGAAGAAA